UGCCUGGAGUGAAGAUUCUGCCCAUUGGUCAAGAGACCUCCCUCUCAGAUGCUGGCUCUGCCCCUGCCUUUGGGGGUCGACCCUUGUACUCGCAGGACCUUAGGUGACUCUAUUCUACUUCUCUGAUCAUCCAGGAAACCAAUCUGCCUGAGGACGAGUCAUACUCUGUCCUCCCACCCCAGGCUAGAGAGUGGUAUCUGUCUUUCCACAAGUUAAAGCACAGGUGGUGAAGGGUCUCAUUUCAAGUUGUGGUUUUCUGCCAUGGAGGAAAGUGUUGAAAAAAAGGGAACCUGUACAGCAUAAAGAAUGGGGUUUCACAGAUCCUGUCAAGGGAUCUGAAUGAUGCAGUGUUGCAAUCCCAUUUUAUAAAUGAGGCAACCAAAACUCAAACAGGACCAUAUUGUGACUGAAACAAGGCAUAACAGGUCUUUGACUAGCUAUCCUGUGGGUGUGGCCUCAGGGUAGCCUGCAGAAAGUGGUGAGCAAGGUGGUUGGGAAAAUCAAAGGAGGGGGUAAGGUAGUGGCAGGUAACUAUCGAUAAUCUGCUCUUCUUCACAGAAAGACAGGCAAUUAGAUUGAAAAAUACCUGUGAUUCAAAGAAGUCACAAGUCACAGAGACAAACUUUUCCCAGUGUGUUCGAGUCAGAGAACCUUUGCAAAGACCAACAGGCUAAAAGAGAAAAUACAGUGUCAUA
This 695-nucleotide non-coding RNA is filed under the name Pongo abelii (Sumatran orangutan). The record is from RNAcentral. Lineage: Eukaryota; Metazoa; Chordata; Mammalia; Primates; Hominidae.